RNAcentral lists this unclassified non-coding RNA (845 nucleotides) under uncultured Synechococcus sp. RNAcentral describes it as "partial may contain 16S ribosomal RNA, 16S-23S ribosomal RNA intergenic spacer, and 23S ribosomal RNA". The stretch from base 342 to 414 matches the Rfam family "tRNA". Lineage: Bacteria; Bacillati; Cyanobacteriota; Cyanophyceae; Synechococcales; Synechococcaceae. The record is from RNAcentral.
AGGUGGGGCUGAUGACUGGGGUGAAGUCGUAACAAGGUAUCCGUACCGGAAGGUGCGGAUGGAUCACCUCCUAACAGGGAGACAAAACAAUGAUUUUGAUGUCUGAGUAUUUCAUUCUUAGGCCGAAAUCCUGUCACCUUAGGUCGAUCGGUACCUCAACAUUUUUCCAAAGAUUGGUGAGCAAUCAUCAAGAGAUUGGAAGGGAUGUUCAGUUCCUAAACUUUGUCUAGGUCACACCCCGCAAGGGAAGAGUCCCCUGGGCCAUUAGCUCAGGUGGUUAGAGCGCACCCCUGAUAAGGGUGAGGUCCCUGGUUCAAGUCCAGGAUGGCCCAUUCGGUGUUGGGGGUUUAGCUCAGUUGGUAGAGCGCCUGCUUUGCAAGCAGGAUGUCAGGAGUUCGAGUCUCCUAACCUCCACUGACAGAACUCAAUCUCCAUUGUCAGGUAACUCGGAGGAUGAACUCAAAGGUGUGUGAUUUAGAUGUGUCCACUAGAUAGGACCCUAGCUUCCUGUCAUUCCGAACAAGUGAUUAUUGCUUGAUUGGCUGAUAUGAUGCUGGGCUCAAAUUAAUCAAAAGAUUAAUUUGAUCUCUAGUAGAACCUUGACAACUGCAUAAGUAAGUCUGGAAAAACGAAGCAUCUUACAGAUGCAUUGUUUUAAGUCUGAAUUCUCGAAAGAGAGUUUGGAUCUAGAAUGAUGAAAAUUCUUUUAAGCAAGAGCCGAGACUCUUAGAUGUUCUUUUUAUCGUGUCGAGCGAUAAAGAGUUUGAUUUUGUUUUUAUGAGCAGCGAAAGUUGCUGAUGAAACCAGAAGAAUCUGCUUUCAACCGCAGUAAGCGUUUAAGAGGU